UCCGGUUUAUCACCGGCGGUCUCCCUAGAGUGCCCAACUAAAUGAUGGCAACUAGGGACAAGGGUUGCGCUCGUUGCGGGACUUAACCCAACAUCUCACGACACGAGCUGACGACAGCCAUGCAGCACCUGUCACUCGGUUCCCGAAGGCACCAAUUCAUCUCUGAAAAGUUCCGAGGAUGUCAAGACCAGGUAAGGUUCUUCGCGUUGCAUCGAAUUAAACCACAUGCUCCACCGCUUGUGCGGGUCCCCGUCAAUUCCUUUGAGUUUUACCGUUGCCGGCGUACUCCCCAGGCGGAGAACUUAAUGCGUUAGCUGCGACACCGAAAGGCAAAUCCUCCCGACAUCUAGUUCUCAUCGUUUACGGCGUGGACUAC
This 376-nucleotide unclassified non-coding RNA is filed under the name uncultured Gammaproteobacteria bacterium. RNAcentral describes it as "contains 16S-23S intergenic spacer region". The record is from RNAcentral. Lineage: Bacteria; Pseudomonadati; Pseudomonadota; Gammaproteobacteria.